RNAcentral lists this transfer RNA (66 nucleotides) under Anodonta anatina. RNAcentral's name for it is "tRNA-Phe". It matches the Rfam family "tRNA". From Rfam's summary of the family: Transfer RNA (tRNA) molecules are approximately 80 nucleotides in length. Their secondary structure includes four short double-helical elements and three loops (D, anti-codon, and T loops). The record is from RNAcentral. Lineage: Eukaryota; Metazoa; Mollusca; Bivalvia; Unionida; Unionidae.
GGAAAAAUAGUUUAAUUUUUACAAAACAUAACACUGAAAAUGUUAAAAUGACAUAGUCUUUAUCCA